AGUCAGACGGUAAGCAGCAUCACGGCAAGGAUACUGAUCAGAAGAUAGCAAGGCACGCACAGAAGACUCUGAGCUCCCCUAACAUGAUGCCUACAGUUAAAGGCUUGGCACACACGAUACCCAGUCAUGUUCUCAGAGUGGGCCAAACUAUUUGCUUGGAACCGUCACAAGAGACAGUCACCCACCAUGAUGAUCCUGAUCUCGACAUUUCUCUGGAAAAUCUCAACCAGUUAAUCUUGGAACUGGAUCCCACAUUUGAACCCAUCGAAUGCAGCAAAAGUCCCACAUGUCUCAGCCCCCCUGCAGAUGCCUCUUGCUCAGAUGAAGAUUUCUCUGAAGUUGUGCUCAUUCCUAGAGGCUGUUCAACCAUUUCAUCACCCACAGUGGUCCCCUCGGUGUCCCCGAGUAUACCCAUCCCCACACACAACGGCCUCAGAUGCAGUCCCCAAGGGACGCUGGUUUUCUCCAGCUCCCCAACGUCCUCUCUGCCCCCGCUGCCAUUUGGCAGCGCACCCAGGCGAAACCCCUCACCGAAGAAUGACUUUUGCCAAGGAUCACUGCGGCUGUCACACUCCAACAGAAACAGCACCGCCUCAUUGCUCUCCACCUCGACCUGCUCGGACACCAGCUACAUCCUUGGCAGGUAAAACUCAGUAAGACAUCCCAUCAUGAUACAAAUGUCUUCCAUUCUGUCCACUUCUCUGGUCUUGAAAACUGAUCCACUUUAAACAUGGUGAGUAUUUUGAGGCGACACGAGCAGAGAAGGCCUGAUCGACUUGGAUGAGCAGUGCUCACAUUGUGACUAAAAGCUGUUCCAUUCUGUGUGUAGGCGAGGGUCACACAC
Molecule: long non-coding RNA, 844 nt
Organism: Astatotilapia calliptera (eastern happy)
Lineage: Eukaryota; Metazoa; Chordata; Actinopteri; Cichliformes; Cichlidae
Source: Ensembl